Molecule: long non-coding RNA, 1355 nt
Filed under: Homo sapiens (human)
Lineage: Eukaryota; Metazoa; Chordata; Mammalia; Primates; Hominidae
Description: HSALNT0381632
Source: RNAcentral
CUGGUGUUGGAUUAAGUGAACCCAGCCUCAGGAUUAGGUGAACUUGUUGGAAGCGCUGGCUGCUUUUCCAUCUCCGUCCCCGGGAGCUUUUCCAUCUCCUUAAACUCUAGUAGAAGCUGCAGCUGUGAGAACUGCCAGUGGGCCUCAGGGGAACACAAGGCCUCUGGAGGGGCUUCACACCAGCUUCCCUCACCCCUCUUUCCUGCUGAGAUCCCCAUCUUCUCAACCAUCCCCCAUACAGUUUUCUAAGAAAGCCAGAGGAGGAAAUUAUCAUGAAAAAGAGAAUUGAGGUGGACUUGUCUGCCGGGCCAUUUCCUUCCCACCUAAGCUCCUGCCAGAUGGCUCCCAGUUGCUGUGUUUGAGCCCAGGCUGACCACUUCCUAGGCAGUGGCGUUGGAGAUGGGUGUGGCCUUGCCUCCAGGAUCUCCUCACAGCUUGUGCUUCCUGACAGCUGUGGACACUUGGGCUGACUGCAGACCUCCCGCUACCCUGAUUUCCAGCAACCUCUCUAGCUUUUCUUUGGAAGGAGCAAGAAAAAAAUGAAGUACAAGAAACGGUGAGCCAGCGCCAUGAGGAGUGGCUGCCUCUUGAAUCCUGUCAGUCUCCGGCAGAUCCGAUUACAUCUGGGACCCUUAAGAGUACUUGAAGCAAACGGCGCUGGUCUAUUUUAAUCCUGCUCCUUCUAGAAACUAGAAACUGUAAGGAGAGUCUUCCUGCUGACAGGUGGCUCCAUAAAAGUCGUCCAUCUGCUGCUAAUUAUGGCAGAAAGAAAAUUCACAGAGCCGAGUUUUCAGUUUAUUUGCUAAAGAUCUCCAAAGGUGUAACUGUCUUCCCAGAUCACAAGGCCAUUCACAGCGUUACAUCUAUAGCGCUUGUUAAUUAUUUAAAUAAUUUACAACUCGGGGUGGCAGCGAGCAUUUAACAGAAGUCUGGCUGGGAAAGAACUAUUCCUUCCAGCCCAGAACACUGUCUCUGAACAGCAAGAUGGCUUUGAAACGCUUUCACAACGAAGCAAUACUUCCAAUUUGUUAAGCACAUGUGACUCAGCCACACCAUGGAACUCACUAGGAUUGAAGGUCUGCCUCAAGCAACUUAUUCCAGUUCUCUGGCUACGUUUGCUGUAUGCCCUAUACAUCUUAUUUCUACAGGAAUGGCAGUUUGGGGCAUUUGAAAAAGUUGAAGUUCCCUGUUGCAUGUCCUUGGUCCCCAAAUCCAAGGAUUGUAAUUGUCCCCAGACUGUAUUGCUUGCAGAAAGAUAGGACACAGUAUUUGAAACCAAUGGGCUAAAUUUUGCUAAAUAACAUCUUGUUUUAUUUAUUCACAAAUAAAAAUAAUUUUGAGAUACUCUAUAAAUA